UUGGCAGCGAUGAUUAUAAAAGUAAUUCCUCGUUCUGAAUGCCGUUGGCUUGAUAGACAUAUAUUACACCCAUAGAAUAUGAGCUGACC
Molecule: non-coding RNA, 89 nt
Organism: Erythranthe guttata (spotted monkey flower)
Lineage: Eukaryota; Viridiplantae; Streptophyta; Magnoliopsida; Lamiales; Phrymaceae
Source: Rfam